GACGAACGCUGGCGGCGUGCCUAAUACAUGCAAGUCGAGCGAGCGGAACUAACAGAUUUACUUCGGUAAUGACGUUAGGAAAGCGAGCGGCGGAUGGGUGAGUAACACGUGGGGAACCUGCCCCAUAGUCUGGGAUACCACUUGGAAACAGGUGCUAAUACCGGAUAAGAAAGCAGAUCGCAUGAUCAGCUUUUAAAAGGCGGCGUAAGCUGUCGCUAUGGGAUGGCCCCGCGGUGCAUUAGCUAGUUGGUAAGGUAAAGGCUUACCAAGGCGAUGAUGCAUAGCCGAGUGGAUAGACUGAUCGGCCGCAUUGGGACUGAGACACGGCCCAAACUCCUACGGGAGGCAGCAGUAGGGAAUCUGCCACAAUGGACGCAAGUCUGAUGGAGCAACGCCGCGUGAGUGAAGAAGGUGUUCGGAUCGUAAAGCCCGGUUGUUGGUGAAGAAGGAUAGAGGUAGUAACUGGCCUUUAUUUGACGGUAAUCAACCAGAAAGUCACGGCUAACUACGUG
RNAcentral lists this ribosomal RNA (512 nucleotides) under uncultured bacterium. RNAcentral describes it as "partial 16S ribosomal RNA". It matches the Rfam family "Bacterial small subunit ribosomal RNA", at positions 28 to 507 of the family's 1533-position model. The record is from RNAcentral.